ACAGCAGUAGCCGCGGGAAUACGAAGGGGGCUAGCGUUGUUCGGAAUUACUGGGCGUAAAGCGCACGUAGGCGGAUAUUUAAGUCAUGGGUGAAAUCCCGCAGCUCAACUGCGGAACUGCCUUUGAUACUGGGUAUCUUGAGUAUGGAAGAGGUUAGUGGAAUUGCGAGUGUAGAGGUGAAAUUCGUAGAUAUUCGCAGGAACACCAGUGGCGAAGGCGGCUAACUGGUCCAUAACUGACGCUGAGGUGCGAAAGCGUGGGGAGCAAACAGGAUUAGAUACCCGAGUAGUCCCUGUCUCUUAUAC
This 305-nucleotide ribosomal RNA is filed under the name uncultured bacterium. RNAcentral describes it as "partial 16S ribosomal RNA". It matches the Rfam family "Bacterial small subunit ribosomal RNA", at positions 508 to 807 of the family's 1533-position model. The record is from RNAcentral.